Podarcis muralis (Common wall lizard) is the source of this 249-nucleotide non-coding RNA. Lineage: Eukaryota; Metazoa; Chordata; Lepidosauria; Squamata; Lacertidae. The record is from RefSeq and is a predicted model, not a curated record.
GACCCAUCAGCUUUCCUCACCUGGUUUAGCCGGCCUGUUGAAGCCGUUGCUUGAACCCCUGUUGCAUGCUGACAGCUUCUGGAAGCCACAGGAUUUCCUUUCUGCCCACUCUGAAAAAGGUGAUGGAGAAGACAGAAUUGCAGGGGACUGGCACCUUUCGUUUCAUUAGGAAUAGCCAUUAAAAUGUGUGAAAUGUGGAAUAUGCUUCACUGAAUGAGCACACAUAGUUCACAUCAACGAACACAAAAA